AUGAAUUUAGCACAAAAAAUAUCACAAAGUAUUGAAAACACUGACUACAAAAAUGCGUUGGAUAAUCCAGAACGUUGGAGACUCUACUGUAUUUUUAUCUCUACCCCACUCACAAUAUAUUGUUAUUAUAAUAUUUAUUUAAUGUAUACCUCACUCACAAUACCUUCUUCUUCUUCUUCUAUUUAUCUCAUGUAUACCCCACUCACAAUACAUUGUUCUUAUUAUAUUUAUUUCACGUAUAUCCCACUCGCAAUAUUGUUAUUAUUAUAUUUAUUUAAUGUAUACCCCACUCACAAUACAUGUCAGUGGAGGGGGGGCCACGGGUGUCCCCUGUUUGUGGAGGUGCGAGGCUGUCUAUGGAAGUGGAACCAUCCACCACAUACACAUUUUUUCACUUUUAUUAUGUGUAUAGAUAGAUAGAUUAUAUUCUUUUAUACCCGGUUGAUCUCCCCUGAAGUGGACUCAAACUGAGGGAGAGAUUUGAGGUUUCUCUCCAGCCUCCAGGUUGUUGGGAAUUGUGGGAGUUGGAGUCCGAAAAACCUGGAGGGAAGGCCGAAGCUGGAUAAGGCCUCAGUGUCUUCUG
This 583-nucleotide long non-coding RNA is filed under the name Anolis carolinensis (green anole). RNAcentral's name for it is "lncRNA (ENSACAG00000039098.1)". Lineage: Eukaryota; Metazoa; Chordata; Lepidosauria; Squamata; Anolidae. The record is from RNAcentral.